UUUAUUUAACCAGGUUAGGCCAGUUGAGAACAAGUCCUUUAUUUAACCAGGUUAGGCCAGUUGAGAACAAGUCCUUUAUUUAACCAGGUUAGGCUAGUUGAGAACAAGUCCUUUAUUUAACCAGGUUAGGCUAGUUGAGAACAAGUCCUUUAUUUAACCAGGUAGGCUAGUUGAGAACAAGUCCUUUAUUUAACCAGGUUAGGCUAGUUGAGAACAAGUCCUUUAUUUAACCAGGUUAGGCUAGUUGAGAACAAGUCCUUUAUUUAACCAGGUUAGGCUAGUUGAGAACAAGUCCUUUAUUUAACCAGGUAGGCUAGUUGAGAACAAGUUCUCAUUUACAAUUGCGACCUGGUCAAGAUAAAGCAAAGCAGUUCGACAACAUACAACAACACAGAGUUACACAUGGAGUAAAACAAAC
RNAcentral lists this long non-coding RNA (418 nucleotides) under Salmo salar (Atlantic salmon). Its description in RNAcentral is "lncRNA (ENSSSAG00000094128.1)". Lineage: Eukaryota; Metazoa; Chordata; Actinopteri; Salmoniformes; Salmonidae. The record is from RNAcentral.